AAACGAAAAUUAGGAGAUCGAAGACGAUCAGAUACCGUGGUAGUCUUAACUAUCAACUAUGCCGACUAGGGAUCGGACGAUGUUAUCCUUGGGCGCGUUCGGCACCCUUAGAGAAAUCAACGUACAUGGGCGCCAGGGGGAAUAUGGUCGCAAGGAUGAAACUUAAAGAAAUUGACGGAAGUGCACCGACAAGGGUCGAACAUGCGGCUUAAUGAGACUCAACACGGGUAAAAUCUCCAGGUCGAGACGCAGUGAGGAGUGACAGGUUGAGAGCUCUUUCGUGACUCUGUGGGGGGUGGGGCAUGUCCGUUCUUAGUUGGUGGAGUGAUUUGUCUGCUUAAUUGCGAUAACGAACGAGCCUUUAACCUGCUAAAUAGCCCGUACUGCUUUGGCAGUUCGCCGGCUUCUUAGAGGGCCUAUCGGCUCAAGCCGAUGGAAGUUUGAGGCAAUAACAGGUCUGUGAUGCCCUUAGAUGUCCUGGGCAGCACUCGCGUUACACUGACCGAGCCAGCGAGUAUUUCCUUGACCGGAAGGUCCGGGUAAUC
This 545-nucleotide ribosomal RNA is filed under the name Lomentospora prolificans. RNAcentral describes it as "Scedosporium prolificans Eukaryotic small subunit ribosomal RNA". It matches the Rfam family "Eukaryotic small subunit ribosomal RNA", at positions 981 to 1551 of the family's 1831-position model. The record is from Rfam by way of RNAcentral. Lineage: Eukaryota; Fungi; Ascomycota; Sordariomycetes; Microascales; Microascaceae.